UGACAGGAGCAACCGCUCAGAGAUGAUACUUUUGCGGUGGUGUUUCACGCCACCGCAAAAGCUAAUUAAGAGAGGAAAGUCCGGACACCACGGGGUACGGGGCCAGAGAGAUCUGGAGCUAACGCUGCUCACGCAGCGAAACGCAUGAACAGUGCCACAGAAAAUAUACCACCUCAACUGAGGGGUGUGCAAACACCCCUCAGUUGAGGUAAGGGUGAAAAGGUGCGGUAAGAGCGCACCGCGCGGCCGAGAGGUUUGCGGCAGGGUAAACUCCCCCUGGUGCAAUUUCGAGCAGCUGCAGAUUUCUUCAGGGUUUCGGCCCGGCUGACCCCAGCCGAAAUCGUGCAGCGGGUAGAAAGCGAAGAGCUGCGGGGUAUAACCCGCAGACAAGACAAAUGGUUGCCAAAGGAUAUUUCGUUCUUACGAAAUCUCCGGGACAGAAUCCGGCUUAUGAAUGUCGUUAA
RNAcentral lists this RNase P RNA (464 nucleotides) under Turneriella parva DSM 21527. Its description in RNAcentral is "RNA component of RNaseP". The stretch from base 45 to 458 matches the Rfam family "Bacterial RNase P class A". Rfam says of the family: Ribonuclease P (RNase P) is a ubiquitous endoribonuclease, found in archaea, bacteria and eukarya as well as chloroplasts and mitochondria. Its best characterised activity is the generation of mature 5'-ends of tRNAs by cleaving the 5'-leader elements of precursor-tRNAs. Lineage: Bacteria; Pseudomonadati; Spirochaetota; Leptospiria; Leptospirales; Leptospiraceae. The record is from RNAcentral.